This 253-nucleotide ribosomal RNA is filed under the name uncultured bacterium. RNAcentral's name for it is "partial 16S ribosomal RNA". It matches the Rfam family "Bacterial small subunit ribosomal RNA", at positions 524 to 776 of the family's 1533-position model. The record is from RNAcentral.
GACAGAGGGUGCAAACGUUGUUCGGAAUUACUGGGCGUAAAGCGCACGUAGGCGGCUUUGUAAGUUAGAGGUGAAAGCCCAGGGCUCAACCCUGGAAUUGCCUUUAAGACUGCAUCGCUUGAACAUCGGAGAGGUAAGUGGAAUUCCGAGUGUAGAGGUGAAAUUCGUAGAUAUUCGGAAGAACACCAGUGGCGAAGGCGACUUACUGGACGAUUGUUGACGCUGAGGUGCGAAAGCGUGGGGAGCAAACAGG